AUUUGACAAAAGAAAUUAGGAGGCCUAUGGAUCUGUUUGGGAGCCAGCUUUCCGUUUGAAGAGAGAAACCGAGGGAGAUUGGUCGUCGGAGAUGAAUAAGAGAUUCGGCGGAGGGAGUAAGCCGACGGGAACUCCGUCGCUCGCUUGGUCCUGCGUUGUAGUUGUUGCUUCGUUACUCACCGGCGCCUCCGUUGUCCACAACUUCUUCAAACCUGAUUUGACCCUACCACCAGUAGAAAGCAUUGAUGGGGCUAAGCAAGAACAAGAGAAGAAACAAUAAUUGCCUUCUCAACCAUCCUUUGUUUGUCCCAGUUUGAUAGACUUGGAAUUGCUGGAAACUCCUGCACAGAAAUGAAGUUGAAUAGUAUCCGCUUAUGAAAGCUUCAGGUUGUUAAAUAUUUGAUAUUUCAGCAGCAGGUUUAUGUACUUGGAAGAACCUGUCCAGUAACACUAUAGAGACAAUUUUUUAUCUGUUUUUUUUUUAA
Long non-coding RNA from Ipomoea nil (Japanese morning glory), 485 nucleotides. RefSeq lists it as uncharacterized. The transcript is spliced from 2 exons. The record is from RefSeq and is a predicted model, not a curated record. NCBI's taxonomy places the organism in Eukaryota, Viridiplantae, Streptophyta, Magnoliopsida, Solanales, Convolvulaceae.